GAUGAACGCUAGCUACAGGCUUAACACAUGCAAGUCGAGGGGCAGCAUGCUGAUAGCUUGCUAUCAGUGAUGGCGACCGGCGCACGGGUGAGUAACGCGUAUCCAACCUGCCUGUCACUCAGGAAUAGCCCGGUGAAAACCGGAUUAAGUCCUGAUGAUAUCAUUAGAGGGCAUCUGACGAUGAUUAAAGGUUACGGUGACGGAUGGGGAUGCGUCUGAUUAGCUUGUUGGCGGGGUAACGGCCCACCAAGGCGACGAUCAGUAGGGGUUCUGAGAGGAAGGUCCCCCACAUUGGAACUGAGACACGGUCCAAACUCCUACGGGAGGCAGCAGUGAGGAAUAUUGGUCAAUGGACGAGAGUCUGAACCAGCCAAGUAGCGUGCAGGAUGACGGCCCUAUGGGUUGUAAACUGCUUUUAUAGGGGGAUAAAGUGUGCCACGUGUGGCAUAUUGCAUGUACCUUAUGAAUAAGGACCGG
This 477-nucleotide ribosomal RNA is filed under the name uncultured bacterium. RNAcentral's name for it is "bacterial SSU rRNA". It matches the Rfam family "Bacterial small subunit ribosomal RNA", at positions 28 to 496 of the family's 1533-position model. The record is from RNAcentral.